GACGAACGCUGGCGGCGUGCUUAACACAUGCAAGUCGAACGGAAAGGCCCUGCUUUUGUGGGGUGCUCGAGUGGCGAACGGGUGAGUAACACGUGAGUAACCUGCCCUUGACUUUGGGAUAACUUCAGGAAACUGGGGCUAAUACCGGAUAGGAGCUCCUGCUGCAUGGUGGGGGUUGGAAAGUUUCGGCGGUUGGGGAUGGACUCGCGGCUUAUCAGCUUGUUGGUGGGGUAGUGGCUUACCAAGGCUUUGACGGGUAGCCGGCCUGAGAGGGUGACCGGCCACAUUGGGACUGAGAUACGGCCCAGACUCCUACGGGAGGCAGCAGUGGGGAAUAUUGCACAAUGGGCGGAAGCCUGAUGCAGCAACGCCGCGUGCGGGAUGGCGGCCUUCGGGUUGUAAGCCGCUUUCGCCUGUGACGAAGCGUGAGUGACGGUAAUGGGUAAAGAAGCACCGGCUAACUACGUG
RNAcentral lists this ribosomal RNA (468 nucleotides) under uncultured bacterium. RNAcentral's name for it is "partial 16S ribosomal RNA". It matches the Rfam family "Bacterial small subunit ribosomal RNA", at positions 28 to 507 of the family's 1533-position model. The record is from RNAcentral.